Molecule: long non-coding RNA, 602 nt
Organism: Gallus gallus (chicken)
Lineage: Eukaryota; Metazoa; Chordata; Aves; Galliformes; Phasianidae
Source: Ensembl
GCCGCUCAGAUAAGUUCAUGGGAAAACUGCUGAGCAGGACAGGGCAUGUAGGGGAAGAGUGAGCAGUGACGCUGAGAGCCCUGCUGUGCAGCCAUCUGCCCUGGCAUUGCUCUUACUUAGCUUGAGGCUUUGGAUGGUGGUGAGGGGGCGGAUUUUGAGGCUACUGCUUCCAACAGGAGAGGACAUGGUGAGCAUCACCUUUUUAGUGUCUCCACAAUCACCAACUCAUGCAAGUCUUCAUGCACUUCUUUCAGGAUGUGUCUGAGCUUGAUGGAAGAAACCUUUCUCUGGACAAACGAUGUCUGGAAGAUAACAGAAAGGAAAGCAGAUCUGCAUAGAGGACAAGAAGAGCUGUGUUACGAAGCAGCUGACACACCAUGUUUUAGGUGGUGUCAGAGGCUGCAUCCCCAUUGCCAGAGCAUCUCCCUCCCCGAAGGCUGUGCCAGGCUCAGGAGUGCAUGGUCCAUCAUACUGCUGCUGGUGACUGUCACAGCGUUACUUGGGUUUUGCACCAAAUCAGACGCCUGUACCACCCCAGGAAACAAGACAGCUCAAGCUGCAGGAUGUCUGCAUUCUCUGAGAUAUCUCCUCCUUUGCUGUGG